This 334-nucleotide unclassified non-coding RNA is filed under the name soil metagenome. Its description in RNAcentral is "partial contains 5.8S ribosomal RNA, internal transcribed spacer 2, and large subunit ribosomal RNA". The stretch from base 1 to 120 matches the Rfam family "5.8S ribosomal RNA", at positions 35 to 154 of the family's 154-position model. The record is from RNAcentral.
GAUUAAGAACGUAGCGAAAUGCGAUACGUAAUGUGAAUUGCAGAAUUCAGUGAAUCAUCGAAUCUUUGAACGCACAUUGCGCCUGCCAGCACUCUGGCAGGCAUGCCUGUUCGAGCGUCAUUUCAACCAUCAAGCCCUAGGCUUGCGUUGGAGCCCUGCGGCUGCCGCAGGCCCCUAAAAGCAGUGGCGGGCUCGCUAUCACACCGAGUGCAGUAGAUUACUCUUCGCUCAGGGCGUGUGGCGGGUUCCAGCCGUGAAACCCCCUACUUCUCAAGGUUGACCUCGGAUCAGGUAGGAAUACCCGCUGAACUUAAGCAUAUCAAUAAGCGGAGGA